CCGAGCACGCCGCGUGAGUGAAGAAGGUUUUCGGAUCGUAAAACUCUGUUGGUAGAGAAGAACGUUGGUGAGAGUGGAAAGCUCAUCAAGUGACGGUAACUACCCAGAAAGGGACGGCUAACUACGUGCCAGCAGCCGCGGUAAUACGUAGGUCCCGAGCGUUGUCCGGAUUUAUUGGGCGUAAAGCGAGCGCAGGUGGUUUAUUAAGUCUGGUGUAAAAGGCAGUGGCUCAACCAUUGUAUGCAUUGGAAACUGGUAGACUUGAGUGCAGGAGAGGAGAGUGGAAUUCCAUGUGUAGCGGUGAAAUGCGUAGAUAUAUGGAGGAACACCGGUGGCGAAAGCGGCUCUCUGGCCUGUAACUGACACUGAGGCUCGAAAGCGUGGGGAGCAAACAGGAUUAGAUACCC
This 407-nucleotide ribosomal RNA is filed under the name Lactococcus lactis. Its description in RNAcentral is "bacterial SSU rRNA". It matches the Rfam family "Bacterial small subunit ribosomal RNA", at positions 387 to 787 of the family's 1533-position model. Lineage: Bacteria; Bacillati; Bacillota; Bacilli; Lactobacillales; Streptococcaceae. The record is from RNAcentral.